This 18-nucleotide unclassified non-coding RNA is filed under the name Mus musculus (house mouse). Its description in RNAcentral is "oocyte_clustered_small_RNA7400". The record is from RNAcentral. Lineage: Eukaryota; Metazoa; Chordata; Mammalia; Rodentia; Muridae.
GAGUCUAAUGAGGUGCAG